AACGAACGCUGGCGGCAUGCCUAACACAUGCAAGUCGAACGAAGCCUUCGGGCUUAGUGGCGCACGGGUGCGUAACGCGUGGGAAUCUGCCCUUGGGUUCGGAAUAACAGUUAGAAAUGACUGCUAAUACCGAAUGAUGUCUUCGGACCAAAGAUUUAUCGCCCAAGGAUGAGCCCGCGUCGGAUUAGCUAGUUGGUGAGGUAAAGGCUCACCAAGGCGACGAUCCGUAGCUGGUCUGAGAGGAUGAUCAGCCACACUGGGACUGAGACACGGCCCAGACUCCUACGGGAGGCAGCAGUGGGGAAUAUUGGACAAUGGGCGAAAGCCUGAUCCAGCAAUGCCGCGUGAAUGAUGAAGGCCUUAGGGUUGUAAAAUUCUUUUGCAGGGGAAGAUAAUGACGGUACCCUGCGAAUAAGCUCCGGCUAACUUCGUGCCAGCAGCCGCGGUAAU
Molecule: ribosomal RNA, 450 nt
Filed under: uncultured bacterium
Lineage: Bacteria
Description: bacterial SSU rRNA
Rfam family: Bacterial small subunit ribosomal RNA
Source: RNAcentral